GGUGAAACAGAGCCGUCGAUUAAAAUUUCAGA
This 32-nucleotide small RNA is filed under the name Arabidopsis thaliana (thale cress). RNAcentral describes it as "ATSL255140". Lineage: Eukaryota; Viridiplantae; Streptophyta; Magnoliopsida; Brassicales; Brassicaceae. The record is from RNAcentral.